Molecule: ribosomal RNA, 399 nt
Filed under: Crustacea environmental sample
Lineage: Eukaryota; Metazoa; Arthropoda
Description: partial small subunit ribosomal RNA
Rfam family: Eukaryotic small subunit ribosomal RNA
Source: RNAcentral
GCUUGUCUCAAAGAUUAAGCCAUGCAUGUCUUAGUGUAAAUAACUCUUAUGAAACUGCGAAUGGCUCAUUAAAUCACACCUAAUCUACUGGAAAGUUACUAGUUACUUGGAUAACUGAGGUAAUUCUUGAGCUAAUACAUGCGAAAAAUCUCGACUCACGGAGAGAUGCUUUUAUUAGAUCAAAACCAAACGGCUUCGGCCGUUCCACUGGUGAAUCUGAAUAACUUUGAGCGGAUCGCACGGCCUUGUGCCGGCGACGUGUCCUUCCAAGGUGUGCCCUAUCAACUGUCGACUGUGGCAUAGACGCCCACAGUGGUUUUGACGGGUAACGGGGAAUCAGGGUUCGAUUCCGGAGAGGGAGCCUUAAAAACGGCUACCACAUCCAAGGAAGGCAGCAGG